RNAcentral lists this long non-coding RNA (1546 nucleotides) under Homo sapiens (human). RNAcentral describes it as "non-protein coding SMIM15-AS1:32". Lineage: Eukaryota; Metazoa; Chordata; Mammalia; Primates; Hominidae. The record is from RNAcentral.
UCCGUCUCAAAAAAAAAAAAAAAAAGGAUAGAAUUAGUCUUCAAAAUAAGAACAAUAAAAUUCAAUAGGGAGCAGUACAAGGUUAUAUAAUUUGGAAGGAAUGCAUAUAAAUAUAUAGCAGAUUACUCGUUAAACUUUCAUUAGCCAAAAAUUGCUUAAAACGUUCUUUUCAUAUGUUUGCAGGGCUACUGCCUUCCUAGAGGUUUCAAAUGAAGUGCUACCUAUUACAAAAGGCUUCUCCACCCCCAUAACAUUUUUUUUCUCCACAGCUUUUACCUCAAUCUGAUACCUUGUUUACUGGUUCACUGUCUAUUUUUUCCACUAGAAUGUAAGCUAUAUGAGGUCGGUUACCCCAAUACCUAGAACAUUGUUUUAAAUAAUUGAUUUCACGAUGUAGCAUUGUUGCUUACAAAUAAAACUGAGAAUGUUUGAAGGAAUUAUGAAAUAAUUUAAAUCCUGGAUAUUUGUGAAGCUCAUAGUAAAGUGCCAAACUGUUGAAGUAUGUUUUGAAAGUGGUGAGAUACCCUAGUAGGAAGAGGUCUAAAAGAUUAGUAAGAUGUUUUGGGAAAGGUUAAAAUAAUUGUAGUUAUCGUGUUAAUGAGAGAAGACUAGUUACUUAAUGAUUUCCAACUUCGUAAAAGUAUUUACAGGAAAGUCGUGAUUCAUCAUUUUCAUUGAUAAAAAGAAUUAGUCCUAGGCCGUAGGUGCUACGAUUUAAGAUAAGAGCAAGCUAGACUAGAGAUCUAAAUAGAGAUCUUUGAAAAUGGGAUAAGAGUGUAUACGCAGACUAGAUGCCCUCACUAGAUACUUUCCAGCCUGUGAUUCCAAACGCAGAUUGUGGGAGAAAGAUUAGAUAGCAGGUGCUUCUGUUGUUGAUAAUUCCUUGCUACCCAUGGCCAUUGCCAUUUUAAAACCAAUUCAGUGUGUUUUUUGAGCGUAGUCAAUAUAGGUGAUUAUAUAUUGCUGUUUUGGGUAGUUUAUAUUUGUUGACAUAAUACUGAAAAUUGGAUGUGUGCUUUUUUAACUCCAAGACUUCAUAUUUACAAUGCUUAAUCUCCAGAAUGCCACCAUACAUGUACAUGCUGCAAACUAAUUCCCUGUAGUUAGCAGCCAUCCUUUUGGAGGAGUAAAAUGUCCAGUAAAUCUGAAGCCUUGGGUUGUAGUCCUGCUAAAAUCGUAAGAGACCCUAAACUUUCUGGCUGAAACUAGAGGAUCAAAUAUUAGGCCUGUCCCUAUAUGAUUUUUAGCUAUGUCAAGUAACUUUUUAUUUCUGUACUGGGUUCUCCUAGCCAUUAAAUUAGAAUUGCUAUCCCAUUGGGAAGACUAAUUCACGUUUAAGAAGCCUUCAGUGUAAAAGCUUUGUAUUGCAAAAGCAGCCCCUAGCACGAUUGCCUUCACCAAGUAGCAUUUUAAUUUAGACCUUCUACCUUCACCUAAGCUAACUGCUUAAAGUAACCAUGCAAAAAUUUUUAACUGCAUUUGCAAUAUGAUGUUGUCAAGGGUAUUGUCCUCUGUGUCAUAUUGUGCCCUUUUACUUUUUUAUUUU